CAGACGGAGAGUUUGAUCCUGGCUCAGGGCUAACGCUGGCGGCGCGCCUAACACAUGCAAGUCGAACGAACCUUCGGGUUAGUGGCAGACGGGUGAGUAACGCGUGAGCAAUGUGCCUUCUUUCUGGGGAUACCGUUUGGAAACGAACGUUAAUACCGAAUGUGCCCAUACUGCGGCAUCGUAGUAUGUGUAAACUGUUAGGGAGAGAAGAGCAGCUCGCGUUCUAUCAGCUAGAUGGUGGGGUAACGGCCUACCAUGGCUACGACGGAUAACUGGUCUGAGAGG
The sequence is a ribosomal RNA, 285 nucleotides long. It matches the Rfam family "Bacterial small subunit ribosomal RNA", at positions 1 to 299 of the family's 1533-position model.